This 246-nucleotide non-coding RNA is filed under the name Dethiobacter alkaliphilus. Its description in RNAcentral is "T-box sequence". It matches the Rfam family "T-box leader". From Rfam's summary of the family: Uncharged tRNA acts as the effector for transcription antitermination of genes in the T-box leader family. T-boxes are found upstream of many aminoacyl-tRNA synthetase genes and some amino acid biosynthetic genes usually in Gram-positive bacteria. The record is from RNAcentral. Lineage: Bacteria; Bacillati; Bacillota; Dethiobacteria; Dethiobacterales; Dethiobacteraceae.
CUUAAACUAUUGAAUGAGGGUAGUAACUAUAAGUUGCUUUAUCUUCAGAGAGCCGCAGGUGCUGGAAUUGCGGUGGUAAAGUUUAUAGUGAAUGGGCUCAUGAAGGCGAUGCAGAAAUUCUUGUGAUGAGUAUGCUAGCCGGGAAUUCCACCCGUUAUCAAUGGAACAUGUAUGAUCGUACAUGAAGCGAGAGGCAUUUUAUGCAAUUUGGGUGGUACCGCAGAGACUAGAGUCUUUGUCCCUUAC